This 464-nucleotide ribosomal RNA is filed under the name uncultured bacterium. RNAcentral's name for it is "partial 16S ribosomal RNA". It matches the Rfam family "Bacterial small subunit ribosomal RNA", at positions 29 to 507 of the family's 1533-position model. The record is from RNAcentral.
AUGAACGCUGGCGGCGUGCUUAACCCCUGCCAGUCGAACGGAAAGGCUCCUGCUUGCAGGGGUACUCGAGUGGCGAACGGGUGAGUAACACGUGGGUGAUCUGCCCUGCACUUCGGGAUAAGCCUGGGAAACUGGGUCUAAUACCGGAUAGGACCACAUUUUGGAUGGUGUGGUGGAAAGUUUUUCGGUGUGGGAUGAGCUCGCGGCCUAUCAGCUUGUUGGUGGGGUAAUGGCCUACCAAGGCGUCGACGGGUAGCCGGCCUGAGAGGGUGUACGGCCACAUUGGGACUGAGAUACGGCCCAGACUCCUACGGGAGGCAGCAGUGGGGAAUAUUGCACAAUGGGCGCAAGCCUGAUGCAGCGACGCCGCGUGGGGGAUGACGGCCUUCGGGUUGUAAACUCCUUUCGCUAGGGACGAAGCGCAAGUGACGGUACCUGGAGAAGAAGCACCGGCUAACUACGUG